This 4650-nucleotide long non-coding RNA is filed under the name Actinidia chinensis (golden kiwifruit). Its description in RNAcentral is "long non-coding RNA (ACHI_LNC000970)". Lineage: Eukaryota; Viridiplantae; Streptophyta; Magnoliopsida; Ericales; Actinidiaceae. The record is from RNAcentral.
GUGGUGAUUGGUAAGAGGAAAAAUGAAAAAAGAUAAUAAGGUAAGUGAAUUGACAAAAUCAUCCUAUUGCAUAGGAGAAGUUGUCUGAAUUUGACCAACUUAACAAUCUAAGGUUUAAUUUGAAACAUUAACAGAUCAGGGUCUACUUUGCUAUCAAGACCAAAUUCUGGGGCUUAUCAUAUAAUUCCGUUAAUAUUUUUCUUUCUGAAUCUCCACCUGGCCGAAUACGAGAGCCAGCUAAGUUUCUUGUUUUAAUCAAUUCCUUUUUGCUCUUUACAAAAAAUAACCGUUCAUUUCUUGUUAACAAAAAAUAAUAUUUUCUUCAGUUUUCUUGUUACAAAAUAAUAUUUCUCAUUUUUCCUGUUCAAAAAAUAUAUAUUUUUUUAACUACCCAUGUGAAACAGAACUGGACCCAUCUCAAAAUUUCCUUAUUUUCUUUACUAAAAAAAACGUUUUUCCUCUUUCUCCAAAUCCUCGAGUGAUUUUGAAACCGAAACGUUUCUUAUUUUAAUUUCGUCAUUUUUUCGCUUUUUAAUAUCCUAAAAAUACCCAUUCAACGGGGAAUCCGGAUUUGUUGAGUUAGUUAGUCAACUUCUCACUCCUCACCCAUGCAUUUGAUGCUAUAUAUGCCGGUUAGAAUGCACAAAAAAGUCUUAGAUUCAUGCCAUCGUCACAAUAGCUACCUUUAGAAGUUUAAAACCGCACGCUCCACUAAAAUUCCCCGUACAGACGUAACCUUCUUUCUUCCAUAUCUGCAAAUCAAGGUAAAGUAACUUUAUCUCCUUAGGUUUAUCAUUUUUUUUUUUUUCACUUUCGGCCUUAAAGUUACUUUUUAAAUGUUUUUUCUAGAUUGAUCCACCGCCAACUUUUCGUUAAUAUUGGAUGGAUGGUGACAGUAAUCACCUAUUCAGGUCUUACUUCAAUCACUCAACUCAAAAACCAAAUCCACAAAUCCAAGUCCAAACACCAAAAUACUCAAAUCCCAAAACUAAAAUACGACAAAAACCCAAACCAAUCCCUCCAAUCCUCAUUUUUUUUUUAUAUAUUCAUGUCCUCUCUACUAACCACCCUUCCAUGCUUCUAACCUCGCACCAUUAAUUAGCCGUCGUUCCCACAUUUGCCUCCUUCCCCUGUUCACCUACGCCAUCAAUUGACCAACCAUCCACCGACAUCCAUCCCCCCCUUGUUUUUUUUCUUCUCCACUGGAUAGCCAGAUCUCAUAAUACAAAGUUGAUAGUCAAUGUAGUGUGAAGGCCUUUAAGGGGUAAAUUUAUCUAUGUCUUAUUUUGGUCCAAAUAGAUUUGGAUGAAAUAUUGAGUGGAUAUCCAUUGGAGAUUGCCAUUACCGCAGAUGUUUGUAAGUAUAAAAAUGCCUUAAAUUUCUAGACACCUCCCCAACUAUACUUUGGUCAUUUUUAUUUUCAAAUAUUUUGGGGAUGUCUGGGAAAUUAGUCAUUUACAACUAAGAAAGGUUGUAACUUGGUGACUUAAAUUUUUUUUUGAGUUUACGAGGUAUAUAAUAAAAAAAUGGAUAGUUUGAAGGGUUCAUUUGUAAUAACCCAUGCUAUGACAAGGCUUUUGAAAUAGGAAAUCUAUUGGCCCGAAGAUUACAGGUGUGGUUGACAUUGUUUGGUUGCGUCAUUUUAAUGAAACUGCAUCGUUUAUCAUUAAACGUGAGUUGGCCUGAUCUGGGACCCUUCCCUUAACAAUCUGCAGAAUUGUAUGGAAUCAAAUCAUGGGCGUUGAGGGGCAAUCCCGAAUUUAUUGAACUACUCCACCAACGUAACUUCACAGAAGCAAUUUCCCCGAAAUCUCGGUGAUAUCUUUUUUUCUUGAUCAUGGUUGAAAAGGAAACCACCUAAUGCUAUAUAUACCCUGUUGGGAUCCAGCCCAAUGAAGAAAUUUGAAGUGCCCAACCCGUGAGCCCAAGAACCAUCCCAAUAGCCAAGAGAAGGCCCAAGCCCAUAUGAAUAGUGAUAUGAAUAAUGUCAUAUUGCGCAGAGAAGAAAGAGAUAAGAGCAGAAGAGUGAGAAGAGCAAGAAGAGAGAGAGGCUCUGACAGUUUCUGUUCAGAGAAGAGGCUGCCGAAGAAGUCCAAGAUGGAGGCACCUCUCUUCCUCGAAAGUCUCAAUGGUGGGCAUGAGCUCAUGGCUGAGCUCAUUUUCUCUGCUUCUGAGCCACUAUAAUUGAGAAGGUUUGCGCCAGAGAGAGGAAAACAGGCGGAGCAGAAAUGUAAUCUUUGGGGGAUUACACUCUGGCUCACACCUCAUGUUUACUGUGUGCAGAGAGGGGCUUGAGAGGUGAGCUAUGUAUUGGGGGAGUAGGUUCAAUAAUAUUCCCUCUAACCAUAGAGAAGAUAACAGCAGUGGAAGAAACCUUCGCAAGACACCCCGUCGGGAAUGGCUUGGCGGCGACGCUAAGAUGCUUGAAGAGAGAGAGCGCUUAAGAUGAAUCGAUUCUAUGGGCGGCAGAAGAUUUUGCCAAGAAGAGGAAGAAUUUGGUUCCUAUGAGAUUUGUCGGAGGAGGAUGUAAGAAUUGCGAGGAGAGAUGACUACUGAAGAAUCAGGACCCGAAAGAAGCAUAUCCGUGUAUCUCACAAGUGUCACGUAAAGGGCUGGAAAAAAAACGAAGCAAUUGCAAUCAAUACAUACAGCCCUCACUGUUUAUGGAGAGAAUGUCUGAACUUAUGCUCGAUUCUAACAAGCCUAUAUUAAUUCUUCACGACACCCAUCGGUAUGCCUGAUUAUAAGUUCAUGCAUAUCUUUAUGCAAGAAGAAACAGGGGUUUAAUUUUAUUCUAAUAAUUGUUUAUUGUUUUUCUCUAACGAUUAGGUUUAAAUUUACAGCACUGUUUAUUUCGUUGGAUUUAUGAUUCGGUAGCUAGGUUUAUGAUAUUUUUUGAGAUUUACAAUGGUGUUUCAUUGGUUUAUAUUUUGUUCUAUAUUUACUUUGCCAUUGGCUUUGCAUGGGAUGUGGAGCGGUUCCAGUAGAGACUAUACGGUUUGAUUUGUAUAGUUGUUUUUUAUGUGUAGGAUCGUUUCAUGAAUGCUGUAUUUGGUCAUGGAUUUGUGGGUUAUGAAGAGAAAAGAAAAGUCCCCCGUCUUUUUUUAUUUUUCUCAUAAAUCCCUUCCUAAAUUCCAUCCAAAUAAGCUUCAUGUCCAUAUUGUCCUCCUUUUUCUUUUUGCAAUAAAAUUAAAUUUUUGAGGAGAGGGUAUUCGUUAUUCUCUCUCACACCCAGCUAUAUAUUUGGUAAAUCUUACUCCUUCUUUUUGUUUGUUCUCAGGGUAACAGGAAUCUGAUCAUUUAUAAUUUCGUGAUUGCAAAUCGGAAAAAUGGUUGGUAAUAAUGCUUGUUAUGCCACUGUAUCUUGCAUUUAUUUAUAUGCAUGAUUGUAUUAUAUUUUUAAUAGGCCCAUGGAUUUUUUAACAUAAUGGUGCUUGAUGGUGUUUGCAACUUUUGCAUUUAAGCCCACCCUAAAAUAAGAGGAAAAAAGUUUAUUAGAUAUUGUUAAGGGAUUUAUUAAAAUACCAUUCAAGAUAUGUUAGUUUUCAUUUCUACUUCAUGGACUUUCAAUGUGAGUCAAUAAUAUUCCACCAAAAAUCUAGGAUAUAGAUAACUGCAUCAACUUAGGUUUGAAAUCCACAAAUUUAGGGGAACGUUUGAAAACGUGGAUUAAACUACAUCAAACUAGUUUUGAAAUCUACAAAUCAGGGAACGUGGGUUAAGAAUGGCUUUAAAUUGCAGUUUUUGGAAUGAAAACAUCUCCUACUUUCUACGCUUUAAAAAGAAAUGACUUUGAUGGGAAAGGACGUUUUUAAUACACGCAGGCGAGUUAUUCAAAAAGGUUCCUAAAGCUGGCUCUUCAUUCUAGAUUUAAAAUUAUUCACCAUCAGUGUGAGUGAAGGAGAAGAGAAAAGGAUUUAGAAGUCCUUUUCGAAAACUGAAAACACAGAAUAGCAAUGGCUUUGGGGGGGAGGUAUACGUUCUUUCGAUUCGAUUAUCCGAUUUAUGCUUCCGCCGUUAAUCGAAUUUUAAUAUGUUUGUUGGAGUUAAAAAUGUUUAGAUCGCUUUAUCUUCAUUUACUUUUGGUAUAUCAGAGCUAUGUUAACUCUGCCUUGCAUAUUUUGGUCUCUACAAUUUCUUUUAGAAAAUUAUGCAUGUUUAUGUAAUUUUUCUUACUCUCAAAUCUUUGUUUUGAUGAAAAAAAAAGAUUUAAAAUCAAUUAAAAAAUUGGAUUUCUAAUCUUUGGUUUUUUUGGAUUUGAAGAGCGUAAUUUUUUGGCUCCGGAGGUGAAGAAAAGAAUCAUGGGUUUCUAUUUAGGGGGAAGGGGGGGGAAAAAAAAAAAGGGGAAAAAAAAAAGCGAAAAAACAAACAAAAAAAAAAAUAAAAAAAAAGAAAAAAAGAAAAAAAAUGGAAAAAAAGGGAAAAAAAAAAAAAAAAAGAAAAAAAAAAAAAAAAAAAAAAAAAAAAAAAAAAAAAAAAAAAAAAAAAAAAAAAAAAAAAAAAAAAAAAAAAAAAAAAAAAAAAAAAAAAAAAAAAAAAAAAAAAAAAAAAAAAAAAAAAAAAAAAAAAAAAAAAAAAAAAAAAAAAAAAAAAAAAAAAAAAAAAAAAAAAAAAAAAAAAAAAAAAAAAAAAAAAAUAAAAAAAAAGGGG